GUCCAGCCUGCCCAGUGACCAAGUUAAACGGCCGCGGUACCCUAACCGUGCGAAGGUAGCGCAAUCACUUGUUCUUUAAAUGAGGACUAGUAUGAAUGGCAUCACGAGGGUUACACUGUCUCCCACCUCUAAUCAGUGAAACUGAUCUCCCCGUGAAGAAGCGGGGAUAAAACUAUAAGACGAGAAGACCCCAUGGAGCUUCAAACCCGGCAUCAACCAUUAACAUUAAUACCACAUUAAAUAAAUGGACCUGACUGCUGGUUUUAGGUUGGGGUGACCGCGGAGCAUAACAAAACCUCCAUGAUGAACGACCUCCUCUCUAAUCCGAGAGCCACCACUCAAAGAAUCAAAAAAUUGACAUUUAUUGACCCAAACUAUUUUGAUCAACGAACCAAGUUACCCUGGGGAUAACAGCGCAAUCCAUUUCAAGAGCCCCUAUCGACAAAUGGGUUUACGACCUCGAUGUUGGAUCAGGGUAUCCUAGUGGUGCAGCCGCUACUAAAGGUUCGUUUGUUCAACGAUUAAAACCCUACGUGAUCUGA
Molecule: ribosomal RNA, 542 nt
Filed under: Gastrophryne olivacea (western narrow-mouthed toad)
Lineage: Eukaryota; Metazoa; Chordata; Amphibia; Anura; Microhylidae
Description: partial 16S ribosomal RNA
Rfam family: Bacterial large subunit ribosomal RNA
Source: RNAcentral